RNAcentral lists this ribosomal RNA (384 nucleotides) under uncultured bacterium. RNAcentral describes it as "bacterial SSU rRNA". It matches the Rfam family "Bacterial small subunit ribosomal RNA", at positions 30 to 410 of the family's 1533-position model. The record is from RNAcentral.
AUUGAACGCUGGCGGCAUGCCUUACACAUGCAAGUCGAACGGCAGCGGACCUUCGGGUGCCGGCGAGUGGCGAACGGGUGAGUAAUAUAUCGGAACGUACCUUUCAGUGGGGGAGUAACGUAGCGAAAGUUACGCUAAUACCGCAUAUUCUGUGAGCAGGAAAGCAGGGGAUCGCAAGACCUUGCGCUGAUUGAGCGGCCGAUAUCAGAUUAGCUAGUUGGUGAGGUAAAGGCUCACCAAGGCGACGAUCUGUAGCGGGUCUGAGAGGAUGAUCCGCCACACUGGAACUGAGACACGGUCCAGACUCCUACGGGAGGCAGCAGUGGGGGAAUUUUGGUACAAUGGGCGGCAAGCCUGAUCCAGCCACUGCCGCCGUGAGUGAAG